GGGGGCCCGCACAAGCGGAGGAACAUGUGGUUUAAUUCGAUGAUACGCGAGGAACCUUACCCGGGAUUGAAAUGUAGAUGACGGAUGGUGAAACCGUCUUCCCUUCGGGGCUUCUAUGUAGGUGCUGCAUGGUUGUCGUCAGCUCGUGCCGUGAGGUGUCGGCUUAAGUGCCAUAACGAGCGCAACCCACAUCGGUAGUUGCUAACAGUUUUCGCUGAGGACUCUACCGAGACUGCCGUCGUAAGGCGCGAGGAAGGUGUGGAUGACGUCAAAUCAGCACGGCCCUUACAUCCGGGGCGACACACGUGUUACAAUGGGAGGGACAAAGGGCAGCUACCGGGCGACCGGAUGCGAAUCUCUAAACCCUUCCCCAGUUCGGAUCGGAGUCUGCAACUCGACUCCGUGAAGCUGGAUUCGCUAGUAAUCGCGCAUCAGCCAUGGCGCGGUGAAUACGUUCCCGGGCCUUGUACACACCGCCCGUCAAGCCAUGGGAGUCGGGGGUACCUGAAGGGCGUAACCGCAAGGGGCGCACUAGGGUAAUACCGGUGACUGGGGGUAAGUCGUAACAAGGUAGCCG
This 577-nucleotide ribosomal RNA is filed under the name uncultured bacterium. RNAcentral describes it as "bacterial SSU rRNA". It matches the Rfam family "Bacterial small subunit ribosomal RNA", at positions 915 to 1502 of the family's 1533-position model. The record is from RNAcentral.